Molecule: ribosomal RNA, 580 nt
Filed under: uncultured Niastella sp.
Lineage: Bacteria; Pseudomonadati; Bacteroidota; Chitinophagia; Chitinophagales; Chitinophagaceae
Description: bacterial SSU rRNA
Rfam family: Bacterial small subunit ribosomal RNA
Source: RNAcentral
ACGGGUGCGGAACACGUACGCAACCUUCCUUCAAGCGGGGCAUAGCUUUCGGAAACGAAAAUUAAUACCCCAUAGUAAUAUCUGAGGGCAUCUGAGGAUAUUUAAAGAUUUAUCACUUGAAGAUGGGCGUGCGCCUGAUUAGGUAGUUGGCGGGGUAACGGCCCACCAAGCCUACGAUCAGUAACUGGUGUGAGAGCACGACCAGUCACACGGGCACUGAGACACGGGCCCGACUCCUACGGGAGGCAGCAGUAAGGAAUAUUGGUCAAUGGACGCAAGUCUGAACCAGCCAUGCCGCGUGGAGGAUGAAGGUCCUCUGGAUUGUAAACUUCUUUUAUCGGAGAAGAAACCCCCGAGUUCUCUUGGGGUUGACGGUACCCGAUGAAUAAGCACCGGCUAACUCCGUGCCAGCAGCCGCGGUAAUACGGAGGGUGCAAGCGUUAUCCGGAUUCACUGGGUUUAAAGGGAGCGUAGGCGGGCUGGUAAGUCAGUGGUGAAAUCUCCGGGCUUAACUCGGAAACUGCCGUUGAUACUAUCAGUCUUGAAUAUUGUGGAGGUAAGCGGAAUAUGUCAUGUAGCG